Long non-coding RNA from Austrofundulus limnaeus, 900 nucleotides. RefSeq lists it as uncharacterized. The transcript is spliced from 2 exons. NCBI's taxonomy places the organism in Eukaryota, Metazoa, Chordata, Actinopteri, Cyprinodontiformes, Rivulidae. The record is from RefSeq and is a predicted model, not a curated record.
UACAGAUGAAUUAAUAACCUAUCUAUAAACUAUUUAUAAGCCAUCUAAGGGGAGCAUUAUUGUAAAGUGGUACUGUUUUUUGCAGAUAAAGGUGACUCAAAAUUCAUUUUCAAAAUCAAAUGUUUUUUUCUAAUUUAUGUCUUUAAUUGUGUCUUAUUUUUUUCUCAAACAAAAAUCAAAAACCCAGGUGUCUUGAAGCUUUUUUUCUGCAUGCUCCAUACGUAGAUUGUUCAGAAAAAGUCCUUAAUUUGGAGUUAUUAGGUAUAAAAACCAAAUACUUGCGCCGAACUUUUCACAAUUUAUAAAUGUGGACAGCAGCUAUAAAAAACACACGCUGGUUGACUUCUAUUAAAUUGAUGCCAGAGUUCAAACUUUAAAUUUAGAGCCAUUAAAAACUCGUUUUAUGGUUUUGUUGAUUUCACGUUUUUCAGCUUUUUUCCGGAUGUUUUAUCUGCAGCAUUUUUCUCUUUCCAGCAGUUUUCUUUUGUCAUGAAUCAGACGGGAGUGUAGAGCUGAACGCGAACAGUCUUCUACCUCCUGCAGGAUAUUCUACGUUUCCCACGACUCUCAGGAUCUAAAGAUCUUCAGCUACAUCGCCAGAGACGGACAGAGCAACGUCUUCCGCUGCAACGUCUUCAAGUCCAAAAAGAAGGUGAGACAAAGAGACGCAUCCCGGAAAUAAAGUCAGACUUUUGUUUCUCCCAAAAUAAAAGUUAAGAAUCCGACAGUUCUGCCUGGUUUGGUUGCAAACAGAGACGCAGCUGGGUCUCCGGGUUUUAGGAAAGUCAAACAAGUCAUUCCAGUUUCUGUUUUCUUAUUUAUCUCUUACCUGGACUUAUUCAUUUUUAUCAGCUACUUUGAAAUAAAAAAUAAAGGAGAUUUGGUGUAGAAAAUAUUUGA